AUAUCAAUAAGCGGAGGAAAAGAAACCAACAGGGAUUGCCUCAGUAACGGCGAGUGAAGCGGCAACAGCUCAAAUUUGAAAUCUGGCCUCGGCCCGAGUUGUAAUUUGUAGAGGAUGUUUCGGGCGUGGUCCGGUCUAAGUUCCUUGGAACAGGACGUCAUAGAGGGUGAGAAUCCCGUAUGUGACCGGGUGCCUAGGCCCAUGUGAAACUCCUUCGACGAGUCGAGUUGUUUGGGAAUGCAGCUCAAAAUGGGUGGUAAAUUUCAUCUAAAGCUAAAUAUUGGCCAGAGACCGAUAGCGCACAAGUAGAGUGAUCGAAAGAUGAAAAGCACUUUGGAAAGAGAGUUAAACAGUACGUGAAAUUGUUGAAAGGGAAGCGCUUGCAACCAGACUUGCGCGUGGUUGAUCAUCCGGUGUUCUCACCGGUGCACUCUGCCACGCUCAGGCCAGCAUCGGUUUUGGUGGUUGGAUAAAGGCCUUGGGAAUGUGGCUCCUCUCGGGGAGUGUUAUAGCCCUCGGUGCAAUGCAGCCUACCGGGACCGAGGACCGCGCUUCGGCUAGGAUGCUGGCGUAAUGGUUGCAAGCGACCCGUCUUGAAACACGGACCAAGGAGUCUAACAUCUAUGCGAGUGUUUGGGUGUCAAACCCAUACGCGUAAUGAAAGUGAACGGAGGUGAGAACCCUUAAGGGUGCAUCAUCGACCGAUCCUGAUGUCUUCGGAUGGAUUUGAGUAAGAGCAUAGCUGUUGGGACCCGAAAGAUGGUGAACUAUACUUGAAUAGGGUGAAGCCAGAGGAAACUCUGGUGGAGGCUCGCAGCGGUUCUGACGUGCAAAUCGAUCGUCAAAUUUGGGUAUAGGGGCGAAAGACUAAUCGAACCAUCUAGUAGCUGGUUCCU
This 896-nucleotide ribosomal RNA is filed under the name Claussenomyces atrovirens. RNAcentral describes it as "partial 28S ribosomal RNA". It matches the Rfam family "Eukaryotic large subunit ribosomal RNA", at positions 40 to 959 of the family's 3401-position model. The record is from RNAcentral. Lineage: Eukaryota; Fungi; Ascomycota; Leotiomycetes; Leotiales; Tympanidaceae.